This is a long non-coding RNA of Nicotiana attenuata, 562 nucleotides long. RefSeq lists it as uncharacterized. The record is from RefSeq and is a predicted model, not a curated record. The transcript has 3 exons. Lineage: Eukaryota; Viridiplantae; Streptophyta; Magnoliopsida; Solanales; Solanaceae.
AACAUUUCCUAAACCUAAUAAAAACAUUCUCCCGUUUCCCCUUCCCUGCCGCCAUCCCCCUUCCCCAUUUUCCCGUUCUUUCUUCAACAACGCUUCUCUUUUCCCAGGAACAGAGCAACCAAAGGAAUUAUUGGCUAGAUAGCCCGGCACCUUCUCUCGUUCCAAGUAUUGAGUGGAAUCUUGAAGAUUAUGAUGUAAUGUUGGGAGGAGCCACAGUUCGUCGAAAAAACAUUACCAAAAUGAGAUGAAAAUUCUCAAAAGUUUAUAGAAAAGUAUAUAGGGUACAAUUUAAUCUAUUGAAUGCAAGAAGAUCAAGGAUUUAGCCUUGAUGCAAAGAGUGAAAUAACUUCAUCCUUGACUGCAGAAAAUCAUCUGGUGGCAACAUGUUCAAUCCUCAAAUCAAUGACUUAGAACUUGGUUUUGUUUUGAUGUGGAACCCUUCCGAAUUUUAUAGAUUAUAGUUAAAUAACCGAGUCUACUUUAGAUAGACAAUUGUAUUUUUAGAAUUUUUUUUUGAAACUAUUUAGAUGCCAAUUUGUAUAAUAAAGUGAUAUUCAAAGUU